Molecule: long non-coding RNA, 1329 nt
Organism: Girardinichthys multiradiatus
Lineage: Eukaryota; Metazoa; Chordata; Actinopteri; Cyprinodontiformes; Goodeidae
Exons: 5
Source: RefSeq, a predicted model, not a curated record
AGCGUUUUAGGACAGGAGGAACUUGAUCCAGGGGAUAACGGAUGAAGAUGAUGACACCACAACAGGUUGCAAUGGAGCAGGGACUAGUGUUGAUUUUAAUCAUUGCAGGGACGUCUGACAUAUUGUCAGGAAUCUAUCUGAAAUCCAGGGGACAGGCAAGGGUCAUACACAAGAAGGCGUUACUUACAAAUCAGGAUGUUGGGCAAAUCUCGGAGGUCGGGGCACAGAGGAAAGGUCAUUGUCCAGACAUCAGAAGCUCUGCAGAACUCACACAAGGGCAAGGCAGGAUAGUCCAAAGCACAGAAACAAAGUUGUAACAAAGAAAUCAGGCAAGGGCAUGGAAGGACAUCUACUGGCAAUAAUCUGGCAGAGAGCAAUGGGCAGAAAAGUGUUUAAACAGAGCAGCUCACAGGAGAUGUUCAUGGAAGAAAGCAGCAACACAGAUAUGUGACUAUUUAUCUCGGACUGGUAUGCACUCUCCUUUUGGCUGGAAACAUUGGACAGGUUUGCUACUACAGGAUUAACCAUUCUGCACCAACACCCAAAUACAGCGCUCUGACGGAAAACCAAAAUGACGUCCAGACUGUGGAAACCGACUGAUCACAGAGUGAACAGAAUGCCUUAUUUGUAGAAAAGCAUCAAUUAGAGGUCCUGCUGAGGAACCUGACAGAAUACAAUGAGCAAUUACAGCAAAGUUACAGAUCCCAGACACCUGAAAGAGACAAGUUGGGGUCCAGUUUGGAGAAUGUGACAAACAACAGAAACCAACUCCAAAGCAGCUUAAAAACAGGAUGUGGCCAGUCAAAAGCAAGCUAGGAAGAGCUACAGAGGAGUUCUGAAGACUUACAAAGUGGUUAUUAUAACCUUACUGCAGAUUUAGCCCUGUUAAGCACCAAAUACAAAAUCAUGCAAAGGAAAAAUGAAGGAUUACAAACACAAUUGUCUGAUAAAGCCAAGAGAGAUCAAUUAGAAUGCAACUCUCUUUACUGUGGAAGAAGGACCAGCUGCAGGAAGGCCAUGUGAUGCUAAACAAAAGCAAAAUUCAAAUUGAGACAACCUACAGUUCACUUUGGAAAAAGAAAGAGUUAUUUCAAACAAGCUAUGAUAAGCUGAUGAAGGAAAAGAAGGAUUUACAGACAAGAGGCAAAAAUUUGACCAGCUCCACAGACCCGUUUAAGACCCGUUCAAGACUGAACUAAGCGAGCUGACCUGUCCAACACCUUGGAGGUUGAUUGAAAACAGGUUGAACAGAAAACAGAAGAGCCUGCAUCAUUGAGGGGGCGGACCUGUUGAUUGUAAACAGUCAUGAAGAACAGGAUUUUGCUUAUG